Molecule: ribosomal RNA, 1468 nt
Filed under: uncultured bacterium
Lineage: Bacteria
Description: bacterial SSU rRNA
Rfam family: Bacterial small subunit ribosomal RNA
Source: RNAcentral
GAGUUUGAUCCUGGCUCAGGAUGAACGCUGGCGGCGUAGAUAAGGCAUGCAAGUCGAUCGUGAGCACCGCUUCGGCGGUGUCGAACGAGGCAAACGGGUUAGUAACACGUAGGAAUCUGCCUUGAAGUCCGGAAUAACUCGGAGAAAUCCGAGAUAAUACCGGAUAGUCCCGUAAGGGUAAAGUUUUCCAGUUUACUGGAAUUCGCUUCGAGAGGAGCCUGCGUCCUAUCAGCUUGUUGGUGGGGUAAUGGCCUACCAAGGCAAUGACGGGUAGGGGGCGUGAGAGCGUGACCCCCAACAAUGGGACUGCGACACGGCCCAUACACCUACGGGUGGCUGCAGUCGAGAAUCUUCCACAAUGGGCGAAAGCCUGAUGGAGCGACGCCGCGUGUUUGAAGAAGCCCUUCGGGGUGUAAAAAGCUUUUCUGUCUGAGAAAUCCCGACAUCAAGUCGGGAUGAUGUUAGGGCAGGAAUAAGGGGCGGCUAACUUCGUGCCAGAAGCCUCGGUAAUACGAAGGCCCCAAGCGUUAUCCGGAAUCACUGGGCGUAAAGCGUGGGUAGGCGGUUUUGAUAGUGGCUGGUUAAAUUCCGGAGCUCAACUCCGGAGCUGCCAAUCAAACGUCAAGACUGGAGCAAGUAAGAGGCUGAUGGAACUUACCAAGUAGGGGUGAAAUCCGUUGAUAUGGUAAGGAACACCAAAGGCGAAGGCAAUCAGCUGGUGCUUAGCUGACGCUGAGCCACGAAAGCGUGGGUAGCGAACGGGAUUAGAUACCCCGGUAGUCCACGCCCUAAACGAUGUCAACUAGCCGUUUGGAGUAUCGACCCUCCGAGUGGCGAAGCUAACGCGUUAAGUUGACCGCCUGGGAACUACGGCCGCAAGGCUAAAACUCAAAGAAAUAGACGGGGAGUUGUACAAGCGGUGGACCAUGUGGUUUAAUUCGACAUUACGCGAGGAACCUUACCAGGGCUUGACAUCCUGAUGACCGUCUGUCGAAAGAUAGAUUUUCUUUAUGACAUCAGGAUCAGGUGGUGCACGGUUGCCGUCAGUUCGUACUGUGAAGCGUUCCCUUAAGUGGGGAAACGAACGUAACCCUCGCCCUAUGUUAUACGUGUCAUAGGGGACUGCCUCCGGAUAGGGGGAGGAAGGCGGGGACGACGUCAAAUCAGCGUGUCCCUUUGAUGUCCUGGGCGACACACAUGGUACAAUGGCCAGAACAAUGGGUUGCCAAGCCGUAAGGCGGAGCUAAUCCCAUCAAAUCUGGUCCCAGUUCGGAUUGAGGGCUGCAAUUCGCCCUCAUGAAGCCGGAAUCGCUAGUAAUCGCGAAUCAGCCAUGUCGCGGUGAAUACGUUCCCAACUCUUGUACUCACCGCCCGUCAAAUUAGGGAAGUCGGUAGUGCCCGAAGUCUCUCCUUUAAGGAGGGCCUAAGGCAAGAUCGGUGACCAGAAUUAAGUCGUAACAAGGUAACC